CUCUUAUGAACUGUAUUCCUUCACAGGAUGGAGGCUGCUACAGCUUGGUCAGUGCCAUCAGCCAUUUUGGCUCCACAGAAAUGGGACACUACAUCAGUGAAGGCAUCCACCCAGACUACAAUCCAGACGAACCAGAUGAUCAUUGGCUCACCUACAAUGAUUCAAUGGUCUUUGAGACGUCCGGCAAGUUAGUCUGUGAGCAGCAGGAGAGGGGUGCUAACAUCCUGUUCUACAGGAGAAUAGUGUAACCCAACUGACGACGUGAUGUCGGACUAAGAGACCUGGACACAGUCAAGACGUGAUGUCGGACUAAGGGACCUGGAUACACCACACAGAGACAGGAUGACCAUCAUGGAGCCAGGAGACCCGCCACGGGACAAGGAAGGUAAGUGAGUUUCUAA
Long non-coding RNA from Epinephelus fuscoguttatus (brown-marbled grouper), 401 nucleotides. RefSeq lists it as uncharacterized. NCBI's taxonomy places the organism in Eukaryota, Metazoa, Chordata, Actinopteri, Perciformes, Serranidae. The record is from RefSeq and is a predicted model, not a curated record. The transcript has 3 exons.